RNAcentral lists this ribosomal RNA (561 nucleotides) under uncultured bacterium. Its description in RNAcentral is "partial 16S ribosomal RNA". It matches the Rfam family "Bacterial small subunit ribosomal RNA", at positions 355 to 1375 of the family's 1533-position model. The record is from RNAcentral.
UGGGGAAUCUUGCGCAAUGGGCGAAAGCCUGACGCAGCCAUGCCGCGUGAGUGAUGAAGGCCUUAGGGUUGUAAAACUCUUUCACCGGGGACGAUAAUGACGGUACCCGGAGAAGAAGCCCCGGCUAACUUCGUGCCAGCAGCCGCGGUAAUACGAAGGGGGCUAGCGUUGCUCGGAAUUACUGGGCGUAAAGGGCGCGUAGGCGGAUCAGCAAGUUGGGGGUGAAAGCCCGGGGCUCAACCUCGGAAUUGCCUUCAAAACUGCUGAUCUAGAGUACGGGAGAGGUGUGUGGAACUCCGAGUGUAGAGGUGAAAUUCGUAGAUAUUCGGAAGAACACCAGUGGCGAAGGCGACACACUGGCCCGUUACUGACGCUGAGGCGCGAAAGCGUGGGGAGCAAACAGGAUUAGAUACCCUGGUAGUCCACGCUGUAAACGAUGAUUGCUAGUUGUCGGCAGGCAUGCCUGUCGGUGACGCAGCUAAUGCAUUAAGCAAUCCGCCUGGGGGAGUACGGUCGCAAGAUUAAAACUCAAAUGAAUUGACGGGGUCAUAGCUGUUUCCU